UCCACGCGAAUAUUAGUGCCACUAUCCCAAUAAGAACACCAAAAAAAGCUUCGAAUCUUCUCACACCAUAGUUCUCAAAAAAGAGAAAAAUAAAACUGUAACAAGGCAACAAAAUUUAAGCACACAGCAUCAUGAUCACUUGCACAGACAGCAUGACAUCGUCCCCCUUUGCCUCUGCUGUCGUCGGCGUUCUUUUCCUUUCCUUUCCCAUAGCUUGCUUCAUCAUCACUUAACAUUGCAUCCUCCUACUCUAUUUUGAAUAUGGGGGUCAUCAUCUCAUCUCAUCUCAUGCUGCCAAAACCAGCUGUCCAAUUUGCUUUACAGUGAUGAUCAAGUGGGAGAUUCAAGUGCUUGGGAAGAGAAAAAAAUUGCAUUGGGAUAUAUACUGAUUCUGAAGAAGCCAACAUUCCAUCUGUCUUGGAUUAUGAGGGAACUGUCAUUGGGAUAUGGGGCUUCAAAGGUCCACAAGUGCCUUGGUAUGAUGCAUCCCCGCCAUAAUAUUAAGUUUUUGAAUUUAAACUUGAUGAUUGGUGAAACUUGACUUGAUGGUUUAGCUCCCUAACCUACAAUUUUGUGGUAGCAUGGUCUAUGUCUAUGUAUUGUCUUUUGAUAAGUCACUUCUGGAUUUCUGGGUUUCCUGUAGUCUGUUGAAAAAUAUUCUGAAACCAGUUAAACACCCUUAUCCUUUCAACGAUCAUAUUGUUAUAUAUGUUCGCUAUCUAGGACCAGGGGUUUCGGUAGCGCAAGCAUGGCAAGAGGGAAAUAACUUAGAGCAAGUACCACGAAAACUAUGUUGCGAGAUUUUAAUGGUGAAGGAUUACACAUCAUAACAAGAAGACCAGUGAAGAAAGUUACCAAUCCUCCCACGGAUAAAGUUGAGAGACUUUUUUUGUUAGCACUUUGCACAUUCACAGUGUCUCCUAAGUGAUGAUUGGCAGACAGGUAAUUUUUUGAGGCACAUAUGAGGGGUGGUUUAGCUCCCACCUCCAUGUUUGCUGUUUCUGUACAGACAAACUCAUUGUAGAGCAAGUACAGAGAAUAGCACAUUGAAUGAUUUAGUGUUACAUGUAUUAAGCAGAAAAGUAAGAUAAAAUGAGAAGUGACUGCUACAUUACUGAGCAUAGCAAUGUGUAAUAUCCUCCUUCAAACUCUCAUUUGUAACUUUUAGCCAUAAAAUAUCUGGUUUGAAUUCUGAAAUGUUGAACAUACUGAAGUACUGUUUUGUUUCUGUAAAAUCCAUGUAUAGUUCAACCUCACCUGUGAUGUCGGAUAGGAGCAAUUUGCAUUUCCCUUUCUUCAACAGUAACUGUCUACUGUACUAUCACUUAUGAAUUAUAAUAUAUGAAAUAUAA
This is a long non-coding RNA of Lotus japonicus, 1352 nucleotides long. RefSeq lists it as uncharacterized. NCBI's taxonomy places the organism in Eukaryota, Viridiplantae, Streptophyta, Magnoliopsida, Fabales, Fabaceae. The transcript is spliced from 4 exons. The record is from RefSeq and is a predicted model, not a curated record.